AAAAAUAAACAAAUAUAGAGUGGAGCAGCUGCUGGAGAUGCCUGCCGCAUUGGUCUGAGAAGCAGUCAGUGACGUGAUGGAGCAAGCAGGGAUCACUUAGACCUGAGACGGACUACAGACCAGCACGUACCAGAGAGGGAAGUCCAAGUCAAGUGCAGGACUGCCUCACUGAGCAACCCAGAGUGUCGGUGGUACCCGAGGCAUUCUCAGCAGCAGCAGGUACCUGUGGUGGAUUUCCAGGCUGAACCGAGGCAGGCAUUCUUAGCUGAGACACCAAGAGGUGAUCAAAGCCAUAUUGGAAUCGAGAGGAAUCUGAUUCCCAGCAAAAACCAGCCUUCCCUAGGUCUUCAGAGGUGUCAGAUUUGGUGGAACACCAGUAGUGACUGGGGAAGCGUGGUAGCCAGAUGCUGCAGCACGUGGACUGUAGAUUGAGACGGCCUGAUCUUCACUGACACCUUGAAGGCUUUUGACAGGCAUGUGAGUUUGAUCCUCUGUGAUUGUGAUGAGUUCAGAAAGAUGAAGUCAAAGAAUGCGAAGCAACCAGAGUGUGAAGAAAAGCGGGUUUUGGGUCUGGUGUUGCAGCGUGGGGAGAAGUUGGUAUCCAUGACUGUGGAGGGGGUGGCCAUUAGAUACUGGCAUUGCUCGGGUACCACUUGCUGGAGCGUCAGGAGGCCCUGGGGUUGGUAGGGCAGCUGGUAGAGGAGUACCGACUGGAUUAGCAGGCCCUGUCUGAGAAGUUGGUGGACCAUCCCAGCAGGUAAAGACUGCACAGGGAAGAGGCACUGUAGCAACUGCUGCUGUUCUGUGACUGCCAGCAUUGCUGGAGCCCCAGCACAGUACCGACGAGGACGGGGGACUCGGCCCCCCAUCUGUCGGCAGAGCAACCCCACCUCCAGGCAUUGUGGCCCCUCUACCUGGUAUGAGACCACGCAUGGACCCACCAACUGGGCUUCCCCUUGCUGGAGGGAUGCCAGUAGACACGCAUCAUGUUAGGCUGGUCAUCAACUCUUGACCUCAGGUGAUCCACCUGCCUUGACCUCCCAAAAUGCUGGGAUCGUGUAUGUAGAAAACCCUCAUAACACAAACUAAUGCAGAAGAAAAAAAACAUGUUGUGGU
RNA transcript from Cebus imitator (Panamanian white-faced capuchin), 1116 nucleotides. It is a transcript of the gene named small nuclear ribonucleoprotein-associated protein N-like, with no coding region annotated. The transcript has a single exon. The record is from RefSeq and is a predicted model, not a curated record. NCBI's taxonomy places the organism in Eukaryota, Metazoa, Chordata, Mammalia, Primates, Cebidae.